Molecule: ribosomal RNA, 327 nt
Filed under: Triticum aestivum (bread wheat)
Lineage: Eukaryota; Viridiplantae; Streptophyta; Magnoliopsida; Poales; Poaceae
Description: partial small subunit ribosomal RNA
Source: RNAcentral
AUCGUGCAACGGAGAGACGCUCUGGUUGCAACCAUACUUAGGUCCGCUCCCCUCAAUAUCCAAUUUAGGAGAACACUAGCCGGAGCGCGUUGGGAAGCCUGGCUCCAUCUGGUGAGAAGACUGAUGGAUGUGCAGCUUGCUCAACGGCCGGAUUCGUUGAGCUGGAAAUUAACCAGGAAUGGAGAGUUCACGGUUAAAUCAAUGUACUUAGAUGUCAUAAAUUCUAGCUCUAUUCCCUAUUCCAAACAUGUUUGGAAUGUCAAAGUCCCUCUGAGGGUUAAAGUGUUUAUGUGGUUUGUACAUAAACAAGUCAUUUUAACCAAGGAC